UACGAAGGGGGCUAGCGUUGCUCGGAAUUACUGGGCGUAAAGCGUGCGUAGGUGGUCUGUUAAGUCUGUUGUGAAAGCCCCGGGCUCAACCUGGGAAUGGCAAUGGAUACUGGCAGGCUAGAGUGCGGUAGGGGAGACUGGAAUUCCUGGUGUAGCGGUGAAAUGCGCAGAUAUCAGGAGGAACACCCGUGGCGAAGGCGGCACUCUGGGACGGUACUAACGCUGAGACGCGAAAGCGUGGGGAGCAAACAGG
RNAcentral lists this ribosomal RNA (253 nucleotides) under uncultured bacterium. RNAcentral's name for it is "partial 16S ribosomal RNA". It matches the Rfam family "Bacterial small subunit ribosomal RNA", at positions 524 to 776 of the family's 1533-position model. The record is from RNAcentral.